GCCGGGGUGGCGGAACUGGUAGACGCGCCGGAUUCAAAAUCCGGUUCUGGAAACAGAGUGAGAGUUCGAGUCUCUCUCCCGGCA
This 84-nucleotide transfer RNA is filed under the name Gammaproteobacteria bacterium. RNAcentral describes it as "tRNA-Leu". It matches the Rfam family "tRNA". From Rfam's summary of the family: Transfer RNA (tRNA) molecules are approximately 80 nucleotides in length. Their secondary structure includes four short double-helical elements and three loops (D, anti-codon, and T loops). The record is from RNAcentral. Lineage: Bacteria; Pseudomonadati; Pseudomonadota; Gammaproteobacteria.